GCUGGGCAUGGUGGCACAUGCCUGUCAUCCCAACUACUAGGGAGGCUGAGAUGGGAGGACUGCUUGAGCCCAGGAGUUCCAGGAUGCAGUGAGCUAUGAUCACACCACUGUGCUCCAGCCUGGGUGACAGAGCAGGACCCUGUCUCAA
Pongo abelii (Sumatran orangutan) is the source of this 148-nucleotide unclassified non-coding RNA. It matches the Rfam family "Metazoan signal recognition particle RNA". Rfam says of the family: The signal recognition particle (SRP) is a universally conserved ribonucleoprotein. Lineage: Eukaryota; Metazoa; Chordata; Mammalia; Primates; Hominidae. The record is from Ensembl.